UACGGAGGAUCCGAGCGUUAUCCGGAUUUAUUGGGUUUAAAGGGUGCGCAGGCGGGAGAUUAAGUCGGCGGUGAAAUUUUGCAGCUCAACUGUAAAAGUGCCUUCGAAACUGGUUUCCUUGAGUGUAGAUGAAGUAGGCGGAAUUUGUGGUGUAGCGGUGAAAUGCAUAGAUAUCACGAGGAACUCCGAUUGCGCAGGCAGCUUACUAAACUACUACUGACGCUCAGGCACGAAGGCGUGGGGAUCAAACAGGAUUAGAUAUCCCGGUAGU
This 271-nucleotide ribosomal RNA is filed under the name uncultured prokaryote. RNAcentral's name for it is "partial 16S ribosomal RNA". It matches the Rfam family "Bacterial small subunit ribosomal RNA", at positions 524 to 794 of the family's 1533-position model. The record is from RNAcentral.